This 330-nucleotide ribosomal RNA is filed under the name uncultured bacterium. RNAcentral's name for it is "bacterial SSU rRNA". It matches the Rfam family "Bacterial small subunit ribosomal RNA", at positions 568 to 898 of the family's 1533-position model. The record is from RNAcentral.
UGUGUAGGCGGUUCUUUAAGUUUGGUGUGAAAUCUCCCGGCUCAACCGGGAGGGUGCGCCGAAUACUGAGGGACUAGAGUGUGGGAGAGGAAAGUGGAAUUCCUGGUGUAGCGGUGAAAUGCGUAGAUAUCAGGAGGAACACCGGUGGUGUAGACGGCUUUCUGGACCAUAACUGACGCUGAGACACGAAAGCGUGGGUAGCAAACAGGAUUAGAUACCCUGGUAGUCCACGCCCUAAACGAUGCAUAUUUGGUGUGGGUCAUUCAGUUGAUCCGUGCCGGGGCUAACGCGUUAAAUAUGCCGCCUGGGGAGUACAGUCGCAAGGCUGAA